Non-coding RNA from Thamnophis sirtalis, 383 nucleotides. The record is from RefSeq and is a predicted model, not a curated record. Lineage: Eukaryota; Metazoa; Chordata; Lepidosauria; Squamata; Natricidae.
AUAGCAUGAAUGGCCCCCGUUCUUCUGAUGCCUUCCUUUCUUUUUCCUGUUAUCUUCUACAUCCAGUACUGCAGUAAAGCUAAAGUCUACAGUGUGGCAGUAAGAGAAACAAAGCCAUAAUAAAAUGUUCUGAUAUCAAUGUUUAAUCUCCGUCCCUCUCAGAUGGCUAAUGAACAUUUUGGGAACAGCUGGACUUCCCAUUGUACCACGGAUUGUUCUGUGCAUGUAUAAACAAGAAUGUUUAAAUGCUAUAUCUAUUUAAGAAUACAUAGAUAUGUCUUGAUUCAACAAUUUUUGCAUGCUUAGAGUGUACCUUAUUUCUGAAUACACUGGAUCCCUAAUUAAUACAAAAUUCUUCUGGAUAGUAAAUUAAGAAUUAGAGA